Molecule: long non-coding RNA, 702 nt
Filed under: Crocodylus porosus (Australian saltwater crocodile)
Lineage: Eukaryota; Metazoa; Chordata; Crocodylia; Crocodylidae
Description: lncRNA (ENSCPRG00005000324.1)
Source: RNAcentral
UUCUCAUGCUGGUGUGGUCUGUUUUCCCUCCCAGAGUGUAUGAGUACCAGAAGAUCCCUCCACUUAUUAAUCGCAUUCCUGUCAAGGCCAGGAGAACUCACCUGGGGACAGGAGGGAAAAGCAGUCUGAACCCCCACACUGGGCCAAGAAGCAGCAGCAACUCAGCAGUGGGUCGGACAAAAUUGCGAGCAGAAGAGCUUCAUUCCAUUAAGGGAGAGCUGAGCCAGAUCAAAGCCCAGGUGGACAGUCUGCUGGAGAGUCUGGACCGGAUGGACCAGAGACGAGAGCGGCUGACAGGGUCCAAGGAGAGUGAGAAAAAGAACGCUGAGGCAAGUGAAGGCCCCUCAUCCCCCGUGGGGGAGAUGCUGCGGGAACCCCGGGGAAAGGAGAGCACGGCAGCCGAUGAGCAGAGUGACCUGAGAGACAUCGACAGCGUGGAGGAGGGUACAGACACGGAGGAGACGAUGAAGAAUCACACGUCGGAUCCUGAAGGCAGCCAUUAGAUGGACUGGGAUGUUACAGCCACCCCCAGGCUGGGCAGCGUUUCCUUUCUUGUGUUUGUAUUUCUUUCAAGGCCUUCAGCUGGUGCCAGACAUGACAUGAGUUACCUGGUCUCAGUGCUAGUGCAGCAAAACCAGAGCCCCAAGCCACUUUGACUAGCACCUCACUAUUUCCUGCAGAACAAGACUCCCAAUGUGCCCA